RNAcentral lists this ribosomal RNA (692 nucleotides) under uncultured bacterium. RNAcentral describes it as "bacterial SSU rRNA". It matches the Rfam family "Bacterial small subunit ribosomal RNA", at positions 105 to 794 of the family's 1533-position model. The record is from RNAcentral.
GGUGCGUAACGCGUAUCGAACCUGCCGCAUACCCGGGGAUAGCCUUGCGAAAGCAAGAUUAAUACCCGAUGUUCUCACUGUUCCGCAUGUUACGGUGAGCAAAGAAUUUCGGUAUGCGAUGGCGAUGCGUCCCAUUAGCUAGUUGGCGGGGUAACGGCCCACCAAGGCUCCGAUGGGUAGGGGUUCUGAGAGGAAGGUCCCCCACACUGGAACUGAGACACGGUCCAGACUCCUACGGGAGGCAGCAGUGAGGAAUAUUGGUCAAUGGACGCAAGUCUGAACCAGCCAAGUAGCGUGCAGGAUGACGGCCCUCCGGGUUGUAAACUGCUUUUAGUUGGGAAUAAAAGGGGGCUCGUGAGCCCCGUAUUGUAUGUACCAUCAGAAAAAGGACCGGCUAAUUCCGUGCCAGCAGCCGCGGUAAUACGGAAGGUCCGGGCGUUAUCCGGAUUUAUUGGGUUUAAAGGGAGCGUAGGCCGGCUUUUAAGUCAGCUGUGAAAGUCCGCGGCUCAACCGUGGAAUUGCAGUUGAAACUGGAGGCCUUGAGUGCACACAGGGAUGCCGGAAUUCAUGGUGUAGCGGUGAAAUGCUUAGAUAUCAUGAAGAACUCCGAUCGCGAAGGCAAGUGUCCGGGGUGCAACUGACGCUGAGGCUCGAAAGUGCGGGUAUCAAACAGGAUUAGAUACCCUGGUAGU